This 449-nucleotide long non-coding RNA is filed under the name Manihot esculenta (cassava). Its description in RNAcentral is "long non-coding RNA (MESC_LNC002304)". Lineage: Eukaryota; Viridiplantae; Streptophyta; Magnoliopsida; Malpighiales; Euphorbiaceae. The record is from RNAcentral.
AAGGAAACUAAGUGUCAAUGAUCAAUCCCAACAACUAAAGUGGAUCCAACUCUUCAACUAGAUCUUUCUCAUUAUUUAUUUCUCUUUUAUUUUGUUAUUUGCUUAUUUUAAUUGCUUUCAGUAGUUUGUUAAUCAAACCAAUCUCAAACCCCCCCAUUUUACUUUUACUGCAAUUUAUUUUUAUUCCACUUUCAGUUUUAUCUCGUUUCAGUUUAUUUUGCUUUCCGUUUAUUUCUCUUUCAGUUUUAUCUCGUUUCAGUUUUAUCUCAUUUUCAGUUUAUCUCGUUUUCAGUUUUCUUCUUUUUCAGUUUAUUUUUGUUUCAGUUUAUUUUAUUGGUCUUGAUAAGGAAAAUAGGUAAGUCCUCAAUUCCCUGUGGAUUCGAUCCUUUCACCACUAUCUGCAGUUGUAAAUUGUUGAUAACCAGAAAGGUUAUUUUUGACCGGCUUCG